Molecule: long non-coding RNA, 429 nt
Filed under: Androctonus crassicauda
Lineage: Eukaryota; Metazoa; Arthropoda; Arachnida; Scorpiones; Buthidae
Source: RNAcentral
GCUGUCUUUAAUACUUAAACUUUGUCCCAUAUAAUAGUAAGAUCAUGCUCUCUAGCCCUCUGCAUCAAAGCUGUGUCCACUUCCCUUUUACAGGCUGUGUUUAUAUGCCCUUUAACUCUUUUUUCUAUAAGCCUACAAGUAAACUCAAUAUUGUAUUCAUCAUUCCCAAGACUAUAUUAUUGAAGUAUAGGACCUCAUAUACCUGGAACACUUCCCAAUUUUAUCUUUAUUACUCUCUAUGUGAUUGAAACCUGUGCUACUCCUGCUAAGUGCUAUCAAACUCCUAGCAUGCUUUUCUAAAAAUGUCUUUUGCCUACUGGUGAUGAGAUUAAGAUUUAUCCCUUUAUGUACAGGCUUAGUUUUCAGAGUAUGUAUUUCAAUUGUUUAAAACUCUUAAAAUUCCUAAAAGGAACGUAUAAGAGUUAAUGG